CAGGCUGUAGCUCAGUUUGGUAGAGCGUCGCGCUGGGGGUGCGAAGGUCGCUGGUUCAAGUCCAGUCAGCCUGA
RNAcentral lists this transfer RNA (74 nucleotides) under bacterium. RNAcentral describes it as "tRNA-Pro". It matches the Rfam family "tRNA". Rfam says of the family: Transfer RNA (tRNA) molecules are approximately 80 nucleotides in length. Their secondary structure includes four short double-helical elements and three loops (D, anti-codon, and T loops). The record is from RNAcentral.